UACGUAGGGUGCAAGCGUUGUCCGGAAUUAUUGGGCGUAAAGAGCUCGUAGGCGGUCUGUCGCGUCGGAUGUGAAAAUCCAGGGCUCAACCCUGGACCUGCAUUCGAUACGGGCAGACUAGAGUUCGGUAGGGGAGACUGGAAUUCCUGGUGUAGCGGUGAAAUGCGCAGAUAUCAGGAGGAACACCGGUGGCGAAGGCGGGUCUCUGGGCCGAAACUGACGCUGAGGAGCGAAAGCAUGGGUAGCGAACAGG
Molecule: ribosomal RNA, 253 nt
Filed under: uncultured bacterium
Lineage: Bacteria
Description: partial 16S ribosomal RNA
Rfam family: Bacterial small subunit ribosomal RNA
Source: RNAcentral